RNAcentral lists this ribosomal RNA (641 nucleotides) under Novosphingopyxis baekryungensis. RNAcentral describes it as "bacterial SSU rRNA". It matches the Rfam family "Bacterial small subunit ribosomal RNA", at positions 387 to 1046 of the family's 1533-position model. Lineage: Bacteria; Pseudomonadati; Pseudomonadota; Alphaproteobacteria; Sphingomonadales; Sphingorhabdaceae. The record is from RNAcentral.
UCCAGCAAUGCCGCGUGAGUGAUGAAGGCCUUAGGGUUGUAAAGCUCUUUUACCAGGGAUGAUAAUGACAGUACCUGGAGAAUAAGCUCCGGCUAACUCCGUGCCAGCAACCGCGGUAAUACCGAGGGAGCUAGCGUUGUUCGGAAUUACUGGGCGUAAAGCGCGCGUAGGCGGUGAUUCAAGUCGCAGGUGAAAGCCCGGGGCUCAACCCCGGAACUGCCUUUGAAACUAGAUCGCUAGAAUCUUGGAGAGGUCAGUGGAAUUCCGAGUGUGAGGUGAAAUUCGUAGAUAUUCAAUGCAACACCACUGGCGAAAGCGACUGACUGGACAGCUAUUGACUCUGAGGUGCGAAAGCGUGAGGAGCAAACAGGAUUAGAUACCCUGGUAUUCCACGCCGUAAACGAUGAUAACUAAUUGUUCGGGCCAUUGAGGCUUGAGUGAGCUGCUAACGCACUAGCUUAUCCGCCUGGGGAGUACGGUCGCAAGAUUAGCCCUCAAAGGAAUUGACGGGGGCCUGCACAAGCGGUGGAGCAUGUGGUUUAAUUGAAGCAACGCGCAAACCUUACCAGCUUUUGACAUCCUGAUCGCGGAUUGAGAGAUCUUUUCCUUCAGUUCGGCUGGAUCAGUGACAGGUGCUGCAU